RNAcentral lists this ribosomal RNA (253 nucleotides) under uncultured bacterium. RNAcentral describes it as "partial 16S ribosomal RNA". It matches the Rfam family "Bacterial small subunit ribosomal RNA", at positions 524 to 776 of the family's 1533-position model. The record is from RNAcentral.
UACGUAGGGUGCGAGCGUUGCCCGGAUUUAUUGGGCGUAAAGGGCGCGUAGGCGGCCACGCACGUCCGUUGUGAAAUCGCCCGGCUCAACUGGGCGAGGUCAGCGGAUACGGCGUGGCUGGAGCAAGCUAGGGGGCAAUGGAAUUCCCGGUGUAGUGGUGGAAUGCGUAGAUAUCGGGAGGAACACCAGUGGCGAAGGCGGUUGCCUGGAGCUUUGCUGACGCUGAGGCGCGAAAGCGUGGGGAGCGAUCCGG